CGCUGGCGGCAUGCCUAACACAUGCAAGUCGAACGAGACCUUCGGGUCUAGUGGCGCACGGGUGCGUAACACGUGGGAAUUUGCCUCGGGGUAUGGAAUAACUCAGGGAAACUUGAGCUAAUACCAUAUAAUGUCUUCGGACCAAAGAUUUAUCGCCCUGAGAUAAGCCCGCGUAGGAUUAGCUAGUUGGUGGGGUAAAGGCUCACCAAGGCGACGAUCCUUAGCUGGUCUGAGAGGAUGAUCAGCCACACUGGGACUGAGACACGGCCCAGACUCCUACGGGAGGCAGCAGUGGGGAAUAUUGGACAAUGGGCGAAAGCCUGAUCCAGCAAUGCCGCGUGAGUGAUGAAGGCCUUCGGGUUGUAAAGCUCUUUUACUCGGGACGAUAAUGACGGAACCGAGAGAAUAAGCCCCGGCUAACUCCGUG
RNAcentral lists this ribosomal RNA (427 nucleotides) under uncultured bacterium. RNAcentral describes it as "bacterial SSU rRNA". It matches the Rfam family "Bacterial small subunit ribosomal RNA", at positions 34 to 507 of the family's 1533-position model. The record is from RNAcentral.